This 393-nucleotide ribosomal RNA is filed under the name uncultured bacterium. RNAcentral describes it as "partial 16S ribosomal RNA". It matches the Rfam family "Bacterial small subunit ribosomal RNA", at positions 523 to 918 of the family's 1533-position model. The record is from RNAcentral.
AUACGGAGGAUCCGAGCGUUAUCCGGAUUUAUUGGGUUUAAAGGGUGCGCAGGCGGGAGAUUAAGUCGGCGGUGAAAUUUUGCAGCUCGACUGUAAAAGUGCCUUCGAAACUGGUUUCCUUGAGUGUAGAUGAAGUAGGCGGAAUUUGUGGUGUAGCGGUGAAAUGCAUGGAUAUCACGAGGAACUCCGAUUGCGCAGGCAGCUUACUAAACUACUACUGACGCUCAGGCACGAAGGCGUGGGGAUCAAACAGGAUUAGAUACCCUGGUAGUCCACGCAGUAAACGAUGAUUACUAGCUGUUUGCGAUACAAUGUAAGCGGCUGAGCGAAAGCGUUAAGUAAUCCACCUGGGGAGUACGUUCGCAAGAAUGAAACUCAAAGGAAUUGGCGGGG